UGACAAGAAGCUUAGGUCUCUGAUUGUCAAUAUUGAUUAACAUCCAAUUGUAUUGCUCACAUAUAAGCUGUCUUUGAGGCGCUUCCCAGAAUGCUUCAUCUAGCCCUUCAAUGGAUGAUCGUAGUCUCUGUACCGUUUGUUUUAUUGAUUCGUCGGAAGGGUCAUGCGUAUGGUCGACCAAGUUUAAUCCUUCAAUGUCAGUCUCCAGGGUUUUCAACAGAGACUGAAACUUUUUAAAAUCUGAAGUCAUGCUCUCAACCUCCCCUGAUAUAAAUACAUAUUCAUUCAAAUUUUUGUAAAAAUUCUUUUCCAAAUUUUUACGGACGCCCAUGUGAAUGCGUAGAAGCUUAUUGUAUAAAGACACAAAUUCAUCUUCACUAAGGUCCUGUAAAACAUCGUUUAAAUC
Molecule: non-coding RNA, 406 nt
Organism: Schizosaccharomyces pombe (fission yeast)
Lineage: Eukaryota; Fungi; Ascomycota; Schizosaccharomycetes; Schizosaccharomycetales; Schizosaccharomycetaceae
Source: the annotation of a GenBank genome assembly